AGAGAGCGCUGAGCUCAUUGGACGGCCUCUCGGCGCGUCUAUAAAAGGGACGCGGAGGCCGCGCAGUGUGAUCUGACUUGAGCACUGAGUUGCACCUUACAACCUCCACGUUCUGAGCUGCAGUAGCACUGAUGAAAGAGAGAGGCAGAGCUUGUGGCAACGUGAGAUUUCAGAUCCCGGGCUGCAGAGGUCCUCCGUCUGCUUCCUUCCCCUGGACCUGCUCAACAGCAUCACAACGACCCACGGAUGCAAGGAAGCUAAAAGGAAAAACCACUUUCCUAAGCUCACUCAAAGAAUGAGUGGCAAAACCAGCAACAGUUGACUCGUCGAUGCCUGAGGUGACUCAGAUUCCCUAUGUUAGCCACUUCUGUAAGGAGAAUUCCUUCCAAGAUUCCACUUACUUGUCAGAAAGAGAGAG
This is a non-coding RNA of Leptonychotes weddellii (Weddell seal), 418 nucleotides long. The record is from RefSeq and is a predicted model, not a curated record. Lineage: Eukaryota; Metazoa; Chordata; Mammalia; Carnivora; Phocidae.